Molecule: ribosomal RNA, 458 nt
Filed under: uncultured bacterium
Lineage: Bacteria
Description: bacterial SSU rRNA
Rfam family: Bacterial small subunit ribosomal RNA
Source: RNAcentral
UACGGAAGGCAGCAGUGGGGAAUAUUGGACAAUGGGCGCAAGCCUGAUCCAGCCAUGCCGCGUGUGUGAAGAAGGCCUUUUUGGUUGUAAAGCACUUUAAGCGAGGAGGAGGCUCUCUUAGUUAAUACCUAAGAUGAGUGGACGUUACUCGCAGAAUAAGCACCGGCUAACUCUGUGCCAGCAGCCGCGGUAAUACAGAGGGUGCGAGCGUUAAUCGGAUUUACUGGGCGUAAAGCGUGCGUAGGCGGCUUUUUUAAGUCGGAUGUGAAAUCCCCGAGCUUAACUUGGGAAUUGCAUUCGAUACUGGGAAGCUAGAGUAUGGGAGAGGAUGGUAGAAUUCCAGGUGUAGCGGUGAAAUGCGUAGAGAUCUGGAGGAAUACCGAUGGGCGAAGGGCAGCCAUCUGGCCUAAUCUGACGCUGAGGUACGAAAGCAUGGGGAGCAAACAGGAUUAGAUACC